AAUGCUAACAAUUAGUAUGGUGGUUCUUGAUAACAGCAAUGAUGGCUUACAAGACAGUACUAGCAGCAAGAAACGUGCAGAAGGUUGCUCAUAUGUUCCUUCACUUGGUAGCGAUCACUUUGGGGAUUGUUGGAUUACACGCUGUGUUCAAAUUCCAUGACAGGGCCAACAUAAGGAAUUUGUACAGCUUACAUUCCUGGAUAGGCAUCGGCACCUUCUCCCUCUACAUUUUACAGGUAAUUAAUGUAAAACUUGAGUAAUUCCAACCUCUUAUGUUUAAUCACUUCUUAAAUUAUAUCGUGAAGUUUAUUUUCUGGACGAGACAAUAUUACUUGUAUAGAAUACAAUAGCCCCACAAUGUUAGUGGACUAAAUGUAACACUAGAGUAAAAAAACAAAAAACUUUCAUGAAAUUGGAGAAUAUUAUGAGUAAGAAUGUCAUUAUAAAGUGCUUGUUGUAUAGUUAAAAAAUACACGCAUUAACAAAUAUGGGAGUGUCAAUAAUAGCUUUCAUAUGUGUGUAUAUGUAUGUAUGUAUGUACAUUCGUAUCAGUAAAUUGCAUUUACACAUUUUAGACUUAUUCUAGAUUUGAUUUGCAGUGGUUAUUUGGGUUCAUUACGUUCAUGAUUCCACAAUCCUCGAUCGACGGUAGGGCGAGGGCAGUCCCAUGGCAUAUUUCUGGUGGUAGAGCACUGUUGUACAUGGCAAUCUGUGCAGCAGAGACUGGAUUGAUGGAGAAAGUAACAUUUUUGGAACUACAACAUGGCAGAGAAACUCUAUUGGUUAACUUUCUUGGACUGGCAAUUCUUCUAUUUGGAAUUACGGUUGAUGUUUCUGUUGCGCUUGCACGUUAUCGAUAACUAUGGCUUGUUCAUGAGGACACAAUAAGGACAAUUUCUUCACAACACAUCCAGUUUGGCAAACUAGUAUGAUAACUUUGUUCCAAAAAAAAAAAAGUUGGUUUAUUGGAGAGGUGAAUUUUUCUUUCCUACAUUGGAAAUUAUUGUGAAGUUAAGAACUCAAGGAAGUGAGUUUUGCGAGAAAGUUUGAGUUUAUUUAUUUAUUCAUGUACUAGGAAAAAUCAUCUGUUGGAUGAUACAGGUUUGAUGUAUAUACUUAUUUUAAAAGAAAUAAAUUAAAAUGUUUACAAGGAAAAAAGCCGGGGGGAGGGGGUUAUAAUGUUUGAAUUUCUUUGUUUGUAGCCAGCAUGUCUCAAGCGUACAAGCAAUUAUCAUUGAAUGAAUAUAUAUACAAGUAGAGGCGUAAAUGAGUUUAAUUAAACUGAACACUUUAGUAUUCAUUCUUGUUUGAUUAUUUUAACAAGUUUGAAAUUUCGUUUAAAUUUAAUUAAUUUAUUUAACAAAUCAUGUUUGAAUGAAUUUUUAUUGAGUCAAACUCGAGUAGAUUAAGAUUUUUACAUAUAAAAUCUAAUUUUAUACUAAACAAAAUAAGAUCCAUCUGACUUUCAAAGUUUAUUGAAUAUAAAACGUUUUCAAGUUUGGUUUAACUAAUUAGUAAACCAAACUCAAAUAAACUUUUAUUAAGACGAACUCGAUUCAAAUAUUGAAUAAUUUGGUUUAUAUUUCAACUCUAUAUAUAAGUUGCGAUGGUAUUACAAACAGAUGAUAUUGAGAAUUACAAAUUGCAGCUAUACAAAAUCAAAUUGUAAAUUAUAUUAUGUGAGAGUUUAGAUGAUUUAGGAUGUUAAAGAAUGGGAGAGGGGGAUGGGUCGGGUGAGUUUGAAACUUUCUACUUAUACCUUAAGAAAAAAAAAAAAGAUGUUAAAGAAUGGGAGUGAAUAUUUCUAAGAUUUAGAGAGGAGAUAAAAAACUAGAUAACAACAAUAUUAUACUAUUGUCUUACCCCAAAAGAAAAAUUAUACUAUCAUAAAAGGGAAUAAAUACUCUAACGAAAACAAUAGAACGGCUAUUGGUUCCCCUCAGUUUUUAAAACUUCAGAUCACAAUAACGAAAUUGACAAAAUUUUAAAGUAGUCUCUUGCACUAGUCCAUCUCUUGCUCAAAAUAAAGAUAUUUAUCAGACCAAAAGGGGCGAUAUCAACAGCAAUAAAUUUCUGAAUUUCCUUUUUAAUUGAUUUUGUGAAUGCAUGAGCUUUUUUUUUUUAACCAAAAUAACUCUCUUUCUAAAAAUAUUACCAAUGUGAUUCAUUUCCAAAUUUUAUUUUCGUAAUGAUGUUAUUAUUGUCACCUAAUUAUCCUCAUUGCCAUGUAGAAUAACAAAAAAGGAAAGUUUCAAUCUUUGUUGUCACGUUGAUCUAUUUAUUGCCACGUAGAUUCCCAAAUUAAACGAAAAUGACCAUGUGUGAAUAUUUGGUUAGAAAUAUCCAAUCUACCAACAAUUGUACUCUUAUUUUCUACUACCAUUGUAUCUCUUAGAAUUUUGCGUAACUAUUAUAUUGCAAUUCUUUUCUUUUUUUUUAAUUAUAUCUAUAAUAAAGUUAUGAUUUUAUUCAUUUUAGUAUUUUGUAGUGUUCAUAAAUUCGGGACAAAAGAGUGUUCAAAAUUGAAUUUGACAUAAAAGAAUUCCAUGUCCAAAGCAAAAAAAAGUGAAGAAAAUCUCUUGCAUUCAAAAACCACAAUUAUUAGAAUAAGAAUUUAACCUUGAAAAUAUCAAGAAUAACAUAAUAUAAGAGUCAAGACUUGUAACCAUUGAUCUUUGGAAGAACAGGCAUUGCAUUCUGAGAAAAAUCAAACUGUCAUUCUUGUUCAUUCAUUAAAAUAAAAAGAAUGAUUAAUAUAAUGGGGAUGGAUCCUAUAAGAAAUGGAAAAUAUAAGAUUUUGGGUCCGUUCGUUUCGGGUGAAAAUGUUUUCCAGGAAAAUAUUUUCCUAAUUUCCCGUGUUUGGUUGCACAAAAGUUAUUGAAAACAUUUUCCUAUGUAAUAUAUUUUCACCCAUCUUAUGGAAAACAACUUCCCUUCCAAACUUACUGAAGUUGUUUUCCGAAAUGCAUGCAUCCCGCCUGUAGUAUGUUCCAAACUUACUGAAAACAUCUUGUAGUAUGUUCUUUUUUUUUUUAGUGUAAAUAGGAGGACUUGAACCCAAGACCUCUUCCUUACACUCCCUCUCCCGUACCACCCAAUCCAACCCAACCCUCCCCUAGUAUAUUCAAAAUUAAAAAAAAAAAAACUCAUCCUGCUUAUCCUAUGCUAGUAAUUAAUUAUCUAUAAUAGGGACAUUCUUUUCUAGAGAAACUUUCAGCAGUGAGAGUGCAAGAUAUAUGUCACAAUAAGCAUUGCAUGUGAUUGAUAUUUGACACUAAAUGGCCAGCAAUUUGUUUAUUGCUUAAGGAGAUAUUUUUUAUUCAUAUAUAUAUUUCUCCAAGAUUUUUUAAAGUUAAAUAAUGAGAUAAAUUUUCUUAUUUUGCAUGGGAAGAAGUCUGUAGUUAUAAUGUGUAGAAAGUAAAGAUAGAGAUAAAAGUGAAAAUAUUUCAAAAGUUAAACAAACACCAGAAAAAUGAAGUAAGAGAAUAUUUUCAAUAAGCUAACCAAACACCUGAAAAUGAUGAAAGGGAAAUGAUUUUCAUGAAAAAUUACUUCCACGGAAAAUAUUUUCCCAAGAAAAAUAUUUUCCUUCCAACCAAACAGACUCUUCGUGGAAUUAGUUUUCCAUUCUGGGCGUGUACGUUGUAAUAUAUACAUUAGAAAAGAAAUAAAGUUUUUGAUUGUAUUAGUUUAGAAAUAUUUUAUGAAUAGAAGACUAUUUUGGCAAAAAAAAAAAAAAAACUCCGAAUGCAUAUGAUCCUUGACUUCAUUCUCUAACAUUGGCUAUUGAAUGAAAUAAGUUAUGAAUCUUUCAUCAAUUAUAAAUAUUUACUACAUGUAUCAUAUUCCCGUUAUAAAUUAAUGUGUUGUUAGACUUUUUUUAUUUGACAAAAAAUGAAUUUCUUUCAACGUCCAUCUAUAAUUAGAAAAUUAGUAAAAAAAAAGUUAAAAAAUUACUAAAAUCAAAACAACAAAAACUACAAUUAAUUUCUUUCUGUUUAAUACUCUUUUCUUUCCUCUCGAAAUAAUUUUCAUCCAAGCUUAACCUUCUAACUUUUUUAUCAUCCACUGGGAACUUAAAACAAGUUUGAACUUCAAGAGCUUCCAUAUUUCUUGGAAAAGAUUUGUCCCCACUCAAUUUGUCGAGUUAGAAGAACUGUUUCAGGUACUCCAUACUCUG
RNAcentral lists this long non-coding RNA (4180 nucleotides) under Coffea arabica (coffee). RNAcentral's name for it is "long non-coding RNA (CARA_LNC007887)". The record is from RNAcentral. Lineage: Eukaryota; Viridiplantae; Streptophyta; Magnoliopsida; Gentianales; Rubiaceae.